GGUGCUGUGGCUUAGUUGUAUAAGGUGCCUGUCUCGUAAACAGGAGAUCUUGAGUUCAACUCUAAGCAGUGCCU
Molecule: transfer RNA, 74 nt
Filed under: Xenopus laevis (African clawed frog)
Lineage: Eukaryota; Metazoa; Chordata; Amphibia; Anura; Pipidae
Rfam family: tRNA
About the family: Transfer RNA (tRNA) molecules are approximately 80 nucleotides in length. Their secondary structure includes four short double-helical elements and three loops (D, anti-codon, and T loops).
Source: Rfam by way of RNAcentral